RNAcentral lists this long non-coding RNA (319 nucleotides) under Theobroma cacao (cacao). RNAcentral describes it as "long non-coding RNA (TCAC_LNC002924)". The record is from RNAcentral. Lineage: Eukaryota; Viridiplantae; Streptophyta; Magnoliopsida; Malvales; Malvaceae.
UUUUUGGAGAAAUUAAAUUGCCCAUAAACUCAUUUCCUCUACAUUUUCUCUCCUAUGAAACUGACCCACCCAAAACUGAAAUCCCCUCAACUUAGAUUCUCAAAACCCUUGAUCAGAAUUCUUUCAAAUCCAAAAUGGCAAAAACCUCUUUGACCAAAGAGAUUGUUGAGAAGAAAAAAGGAAAACGACCACUGGAAGAAGGCAUGCAAGUAGAAAUACAGAAAAAGAAAUAGAAAAUUGGGUCUACAUCGAUGAGCGAAAAAUUUGGAAAAGUGCAGAAGGAAAAGGACUAGAAAAUAGAGAAGAAGAAAAAGAAGGA